RNAcentral lists this ribosomal RNA (229 nucleotides) under uncultured bacterium. Its description in RNAcentral is "partial 16S ribosomal RNA". It matches the Rfam family "Bacterial small subunit ribosomal RNA", at positions 524 to 751 of the family's 1533-position model. The record is from RNAcentral.
GACGUAGGGCGCGAGCGUGUCCGGAAUUAUUGGGCGUAAAGAGCUCGUAGGCGGUUUGUCACGUCGGCUGUGAAAACCCGAGGCUCAACCUCGGGCCUGCAGUCGAUACGGGCAGACUAGAGUGCGUGUAGGGGAGACUGGAAUUCCUGGUGUAGCGGUGAAAUGCGCAGAUAUCAGGAGGAACACCGAUGGCGGAAGGCAGAUCUCUGGGCCGUAACUGACGCUGGAG